GUGCUAGUCGCGAGGGAGAAAAUAGCGCUUCCCGUUCGCUCAGCGGUACUCAAGCGGUGUACCGGCGGAUUAGUAGUCAGGUGGGUGACCACUGGCGAAUCCCCGCUGUUGUAUGUU
Molecule: ribosomal RNA, 117 nt
Filed under: Pyrenophora teres f. teres 0-1
Lineage: Eukaryota; Fungi; Ascomycota; Dothideomycetes; Pleosporales; Pleosporaceae
Source: RNAcentral